Molecule: long non-coding RNA, 1189 nt
Filed under: Cricetulus griseus (Chinese hamster)
Lineage: Eukaryota; Metazoa; Chordata; Mammalia; Rodentia; Cricetidae
Description: lncRNA (ENSCGRG00015041651.1)
Source: RNAcentral
CUUCCUAGGGACAUCUGGGUACUCACCACCAUGAACCCUCCUUGUUACCUAGUCUCUCUGGGUCUGAGGAUUGCAGCAUGGUUACCCUUUGUUUUAUAGCCAAUAUCCACUUAUUAGUGAAUACGGAUCAUGUUUGUCUUUGUCAGUCUGGGUUGCCUCACUCAGUAUAAUUUUUUUUCUAGUUCCAUCCAUUUGCCCUGAAGGUCAUUUUAACAUGCCUGUAUUUUGACAGUGAGUUGUCUCAAGAGGCUAAAUGUGAAUUUCCCUAUAUGAGGCAUCACAUUAACACACAAAAAAAGUUUGAAAUUUUGGAGUAGUUUGGGUUUGAGUCUUUGGAUUAGAACUGUCCACAUGUGGUUUGGUUGCUUUAAGUCUGGUUAUCUGAGAAACUACAUACAUCUUUUUUUUUUUUUUUUGAAACUGCAUACAUCUUACCUGUUCUUCUUUCAAGCAAAACUCUGCUACUAGCUGAGUAUUCAUCUUUAAUUUGGGCUAUGAAAAGCUUCCAUGAGUCAAACAAAACUCCAAAGUAGAAACUGUCUGGCCACUGUCUAACUGUUGUAGAUUAACUGAUAGACACAGUUAUAUGUAAUGUUUUCUACAUUGAUUUUACUCCUUAAGAGUGUAUGGAGAGCUGAGUGGUGGUGGUGCAGGCCUUAAAUCCCAGCCUUUAAUCAGAAAAUACAGGCAGGUGGAUCUCUGUGAGUUCAAAGCCAGCCUACUCUACAAAGGGAGUGAGUUCAAGGGCAGCUAGGGCUGUUACACAGAGAAACUCUGUCUCAAAAAAUAAAACAAAAACAAAAAAGAGGGGGCUGGAGAGAUGGCUCAGAGGUUGGGAGCACUGACUGCUCUUCCGGAGGUCCUGGGUUCAACAACCACAUGGUGGCUCGCAGCCGUCUGUAAUGAGAUCCGGUGCCCUCUUCUGUCGUGCAGGCAGACAGAACACUGUAUACUGGUUCAUGGAAAUUCCAGGACUAAAGGCAAUUUUGAAUAUGUCUUUAUGAAGACUCUUAGUAGGUGCUGAGUUUCUCUGCCUUCCAUUAGGAAAACCCAUCUCAAGUUUGUAUGUAGCAGUUCACCAGGAAAAAGAAAAUGGCUUUUUCCUGUAGUCCCUGCAAUAUUUCUAGGGUCCUUCUGCUUAAAUUGGCAUUGGCCACACACUUGACUCACGUUUGGAAUCAUAAGGCAC